UACGUAGGUGACCAGCGUUGUCCGGAUUUACUGGGCGUAAAGAGCGCGCAGGCGGUCGUUCAAGUCGAGUGUGAAAGCCCCCGGCUCAACUGGGGAGGGUCAUUCGAUACUGAUCGACUCGAAGGCAGGAGAGGGAAGUGGAAUUCCCGGUGUAGUGGUGAAAUGCGUAGAUAUCGAGAGGAACACCAGUGGCGAAGGCGAGUCUCUGGACGACUCCUGACACUGAGGCACGAAAGCUAGGGGAGCAAACAGG
RNAcentral lists this ribosomal RNA (253 nucleotides) under uncultured bacterium. RNAcentral's name for it is "partial 16S ribosomal RNA". It matches the Rfam family "Bacterial small subunit ribosomal RNA", at positions 524 to 776 of the family's 1533-position model. The record is from RNAcentral.